UCCCUGAUGGUCCAGUGGUUAAGACUCUGUACUUCUACUGCAGGGGGGCACAGGUUCAAUCCCUGGUCAAGGAU
Molecule: non-coding RNA, 74 nt
Organism: Bubalus bubalis (water buffalo)
Lineage: Eukaryota; Metazoa; Chordata; Mammalia; Artiodactyla; Bovidae
Source: the annotation of a RefSeq genome assembly